AGCAGCCGCGGUAAUUCCAGCUCCAAUAGCGUAUAUUAAAGUUGUUGCAGUUAAAAAGCUCGUAGUUGAAUUUCGGAGUUCUACCGUCGGUCGGGCUACCAAGUCUGUACUGGUGUGUAGAAUUCCUACCUUCUGGGGAACUAUCAUGUUAUUAAUUUAGCGUGGUGGGAAACCAGGACCUUUACCUUGAAAAAAUUAGAGUGUUCAAAGCAGGCUUAUGUCUGAAUACAUUAGCAUGGAAUAAUAGAAUAGGACGGUGGUCCUGUUUUGUUGGUUUCUGAAUCACCGUAAUGAUUAAUAGGGAUAGUUGGGGGCAUUAGUAUUCAAUUGUCAGAGGUGAAAUUCUUGGAUUUAUUGAAGACUAACUUCUGCGAAAGCAUUUGCCAAGGAUGUUUUCAUUAAUCAAGAACGAAAGUUAGGGGAUCGAAGACGAUCAGAUACCGUCGUAGUCUUAACCAUAAACUAUGCCGACUAGGGAUCGGACGAUGUUAAAUUUUAUUGACUCGUUCGGCGCCUUACG
Molecule: ribosomal RNA, 520 nt
Filed under: uncultured Gigasporaceae
Lineage: Eukaryota; Fungi; Glomeromycota; Glomeromycetes; Diversisporales; Gigasporaceae
Also listed under: 1 other name
Description: SSU rRNA
Rfam family: Eukaryotic small subunit ribosomal RNA
Source: RNAcentral